CCUACGGGCUGCAGCAGUGGGGAAUAUUGGACAAUGGGCGAAAGCCUGAUCCAGCAAUGCCGCGUGUGUGGAGAAGGUCUUCGGAUUGUAAAGCACUUUCGACGGGGACGAUGAUGACGAUACCCGUAGAAGAAGCCCCGGCUAACUUCGUGCCGGCAGCCGCGGUAAUACGAAGGGGGCUAGCGUUGCUCGGAACGACUGGGCGUAAAGGGCGCGUAGGCGGUUUGUGCAGUCAGAUGUGAAAUCCCCCGGCUUAACCUGGGAACUGCAUUUGAGACGCAUAGACUAGAGGUCGAGAGAGGGUUGUGGAAUUCCCAGUGUAGAGGUGAAAUUCGUAGAUAUUGGGAAGAACACCGGUGGCGAAGGCGGCAACCUGGCUCGAUACUGACGCUGAGGCGCGAAAGCGUGGGGAGCAAACAGGAUUAGAUACCCCGGUAGUC
This 440-nucleotide ribosomal RNA is filed under the name uncultured bacterium. RNAcentral's name for it is "bacterial SSU rRNA". It matches the Rfam family "Bacterial small subunit ribosomal RNA", at positions 338 to 795 of the family's 1533-position model. The record is from RNAcentral.